UUUGGCUAGCCCCCCAUUGUCAGACGUCCCGAGCGCGUCCCCGAAGUCGGAAUCGGCAAAGGUGAGCCGGGACAACCUUCUUCCUCCGCCCAGCCGCCACAGUAAUUUGUCGUCAAGUUUGCCACAGGAGGAUAUUUUGUUCUGGGUUAACCUGCUUUUCUACCUCGCAGGUUGUUUAUCAAUAUUGUGUAAUUUUAAUUACUCCUAGAAUUUCCGCAUGUGUUAGCAGUAAUUAUUUGAAUUUGGUCUGUAAUAUUAUUAUCAUGUUGGACCUGUAAACUAAAUAUGCUAUGCAUGUUUGAUGGAUUGGAUGAGGGAGCUGAGCUCCCAUUUAUUUUAUGUUGAUGAGUAUGUGGAGGGUGAGCUGAGCUCCCCAAAUGACUAUA
Molecule: long non-coding RNA, 386 nt
Organism: Hevea brasiliensis (rubber tree)
Lineage: Eukaryota; Viridiplantae; Streptophyta; Magnoliopsida; Malpighiales; Euphorbiaceae
Exons: 3
Source: RefSeq, a predicted model, not a curated record